Molecule: ribosomal RNA, 495 nt
Filed under: uncultured bacterium
Lineage: Bacteria
Description: partial 16S ribosomal RNA
Rfam family: Bacterial small subunit ribosomal RNA
Source: RNAcentral
GAUGAACGCUGGCGGCGUGCCUAAUACAUGCAAGUAGAACGCUGAAGGAGGAGCUUUCUCUUCUGGAUGAGUUGCGAACGGGUGAGUAACGCGUAGGUAACCUGCCUGGUAGCGUGGGAUAACUAUUGGAAACGAUAGCUAAUACCGCAUGACAACAGCUAUUGCAUGAUAACUGUUUAAAAGGGGCAACUGCUCCACUACCAGAUGGACCUGCGUUGUAUUAGCUAGUUGGUGAGGUAACGGAUCACCAAGGCGACGAUACAUAGCCGAACUGAGAGGGUGAGUGGCCACACUGGGACGGAGACACGGCCCAGACUCCUACGGGAGGCAGCAGUAGGGAAUCGUCGGCAAUGGGCGGAAGUCUGACCGAGCAACGCCGCGUGAGUGAAGAAGGUUGUCGGAUCGUAAAGCUCUGUUGUAAGAGAAGAACGAGUGUGAGAGUGGAAAGUUCACACUGUGACGGUAUCUUACCAGAAAGGGACGGCUAACUACGUG